AGGCAGUUUUGCAUUUGGGAGGAGAAUGGAGAGAAGAACAAGUAUUGCGUUUGCAGAACACAAAAAUAUUCUGAACCAGUAAAGAUAGGACUUUGUUACAUAAACAUGAUAUCAAUUAGUGUUUCCUAAUAUCAGUGAAUGCUUAAACCUAAAGAUUACAGUCAAAUGAGUAGAAAUGUGCUAUAAGUUAUACAUAUAUCAUAGUAAACAUAUUUUAAUUUUGUAGUGAUCACUAUGCUGUAAAAUCUUGUUGAUCACAGAAUAAUUUAAUAGGCCUACAAAUGAAUAUAGUUCUUUCAUUUGUGUUUGUUCUAUUAUUAAUAUUACU
RNAcentral lists this long non-coding RNA (328 nucleotides) under Mytilus galloprovincialis (Mediterranean mussel). The record is from RNAcentral. Lineage: Eukaryota; Metazoa; Mollusca; Bivalvia; Mytilida; Mytilidae.